GACGAACGCUGGCGGCGUGCUUAACACAUGCAAGUCGAACGUGAUUUUUGUGGAAAUUCUUUCGGGAAUGGAAAUGAAAUGAAAGUGGCGAACGGGUGAGUAACACGUGAGCAACCUACCUUACACAGGGGGAUAGCCGUUGGAAACGACGAUUAAUACCGCAUGAGACCACAGAAUCGCAUGAUAUAGGGGUCAAAGAUUUAUCGGUGUAAGAAGGGCUCGCGUCUGAUUAGCUAGUUGGAAGGGUAAAGGCCUACCAAGGCGACGAUCAGUAGCCGGUCUGAGAGGAUGAACGGACACAUUGGAACUGAGACACGGUCCAAACUCCUACGGGAGGCAGCAGUGGGGAAUAUUGCACAAUGGGGGGAACCCUGAUGCAGCGACGCCGCGUGAGCGAAGAAGGUUUUCGAAUCGUAAAGCUCUGUCCUAUGAGAAGAUAAUGACGGUAUCAUAGGAGGAAGCCCCGGCUAAAUACGUG
This 478-nucleotide ribosomal RNA is filed under the name uncultured bacterium. RNAcentral describes it as "partial 16S ribosomal RNA". It matches the Rfam family "Bacterial small subunit ribosomal RNA", at positions 28 to 507 of the family's 1533-position model. The record is from RNAcentral.